This 429-nucleotide ribosomal RNA is filed under the name Gemmatimonadota bacterium. RNAcentral describes it as "Gemmatimonadetes bacterium partial 16S ribosomal RNA". It matches the Rfam family "Bacterial small subunit ribosomal RNA", at positions 355 to 776 of the family's 1533-position model. The record is from RNAcentral. Lineage: Bacteria; Pseudomonadati; Gemmatimonadota.
UAGGGAAUCUUCGGCAAUGGACGAAAGUCUGACCGAGCAACGCCGCGUGAGUGAAGAAGGUUUUCGGAUCGUAAAACUCUGUUGUUAGAGAAGAACAAGGACGUUAGUAACUGAACGUCCCCUGACGGUAUCUAACCAGAAAGCCACGGCUAACUACGUGCCAGCAGCCGCGGUAAUACGUAGGUGGCAAGCGUUGUCCGGAUUUAUUGGGCGUAAAGCGAGCGCAGGCGGUUUCUUAAGUCUGAUGUGAAAGCCCCCGGCUCAACCGGGGAGGGUCAUUGGAAACUGAGAGACUUGAGUGCAGAAGAGGAGAGUGGAAUUCCAUGUGUAGCGGGGAAAUGCGUAGAUAUAUGGAGGAAAACCAGUGGCGAAGGCGGCUCUCUGGUCUGUAACUGACGCUGAGGCUCGAAAGCGUGGGGAGCAAACAGG